This 467-nucleotide ribosomal RNA is filed under the name uncultured bacterium. Its description in RNAcentral is "partial 16S ribosomal RNA". It matches the Rfam family "Bacterial small subunit ribosomal RNA", at positions 28 to 506 of the family's 1533-position model. The record is from RNAcentral.
GACGAACGCUGGCGGCGUGCUUAACACAUGCAAGUCGAACGGAAAGGCCCUGCUUUUGUGGGGUGCUCGAGUGGCGAACGGGUGAGUAACACGUGAGUAACCUGCCCUUGACUUUGGGAUAACUUCAGGAAACUGGGGCUAAUACCGGAUAGGAGCUCCUGCUGCAUGGUGGGGGUUGGAAAGUUUCGGUGGUUGGGGAUGGACUCGCGGCUUAUCAGCUUGUUGGUGGGGUAGUGGCUUACCAAGGCUUUGACGGGUAGCCGGCCUGAGAGGGUGACCGGCCACAUUGGGACUGAGAUACGGCCCAGACUCCUACGGGAGGCAGCAGUGGGGAAUAUUGCACAAUGGGCGGAAGCCUGAUGCAGCAACGCCGCGUGCGGGAUGACGGCCUUCGGGUUGUAAACCGCUUUCGCCUGUGACGAAGCGUGAGUGACGGUAAUGGGGAAAGAAGCACCGGCUAACUACGU